GAAACCCUCAAAGACGUGCACGCUGCCAAAAGCGAAGUUCCGGGAACAGCGGUUAAAAGGAGAUGAGCGCGUCAGGGCCGCGCCGCGAGGCCCGCGGCGGCGACGGUCUUUCGGCGGGCGAGCGAGCGAGAGGACGCUGAACAGCGGUGCUGUGGCAACGGGCAAUGUUUAGACGCGGCGCUGCCGCCCCGUCCGCUACGGCGGCGGCGAGCGAGCAGGAGACCGGAGCCGACCGACGAGGGCGGUCGUGGCGGGGGCUUGGCCGUCAGACGACCGGCUGCAACGGGCGACCGAUACAUGCUUCUUGAAGGGGGUGACUACGACGUCGAUGAGACGCAUGAUAGGUGUGGGCAGAGCACAACCACAGGUCAGGUGCCAUUAGUCUACUGCUCCGUGGUCAGGUUGGGUGCCAGGGAAGGACAGUAACGCUGCUUUGUGGAAUGGACUAAGGUGAGAAAGUCAUCCCAAAAUUUGAGGCCGUUCACAUUUGGGAAUCUCUUCUUGGCUUCUUGCCGGAUGACUGAUCCCAGCAACACAUUUUGGACUGGCAAACUCUGAAUUGACCACUUAACAUCCUUUGAUAGAGCAUCGAAGAGGCACUGCCUUUAUAGUGCAACUCAUGCUCAGAGGCAUAAUAUCUCGAUUUUCCUCUGAAAAGAAGCCCUGUGGACUAUCUUGUUCCCUAACUAGCAUCAUCCUUGUUGUACCUAAGCACCAUUCACUCAAGAACUGUUCGGCAUCACAAUCUGAUCUUUGCCCAAAUGAGUGAAGAACUGAUCUGCUCGGAGCAGGAUUCUUUGUUCAUAUUUACCGCAAAUCUGAAUGAUUCUGUUGUAUUUUUAAUACGGAAGAUAAUAGAGCCUUGUUGUAUUUUUAAUCUGACAUCUUUUGUAUCGAUGCAAUGGAUAAAACUUGAAUGGUAUUACUGAAGA
Long non-coding RNA from Brachypodium distachyon (stiff brome), 932 nucleotides. RefSeq lists it as uncharacterized. Lineage: Eukaryota; Viridiplantae; Streptophyta; Magnoliopsida; Poales; Poaceae. The record is from RefSeq and is a predicted model, not a curated record. The transcript is spliced from 2 exons.